AGUGAACGCUGGCGGUAGGCCUAACACAUGCAAGUCGAACGGCAGCACAGUAAGAGCUUGCUCUUACGGGUGGCGAGUGGCGGACGGGUGAGGAAUACAUCGGAAUCUACUUUUUCGUGGGGGAUAACGUAGGGAAACUUACGCUAAUACCGCAUACGACCUACGGGUGAAAGCAGGGGAUCUUCGGACCUUGCGCGAUUGAAUGAGCCGAUGUAGGAUUAGCUAGUUGGCGGGGCAAAGGCCCACCAAGGCGACGAUCCGUAGCUGGUCUGAGAGGAAGAUCAGCCACACUGUAACAGAGACACGGUCCAGACUCCGACGGGAGGCAACAGUGGGGAAUAUUGGACAAUGGACGCAAGCCUGAUCCAGCCAUACCGCGUGGGUGAAGAAGGCCUUCGGGUUGUAAAGCCCUUUUGUUGGGAAAGAAAAGCAGCAGGUUAAUACCCCGCUGUUCUGACGGUACCCAAAGAAUAAGCACCGGCUAACUUCGUG
Molecule: ribosomal RNA, 492 nt
Filed under: uncultured bacterium
Lineage: Bacteria
Description: partial 16S ribosomal RNA
Rfam family: Bacterial small subunit ribosomal RNA
Source: RNAcentral